Molecule: ribosomal RNA, 253 nt
Filed under: uncultured bacterium
Lineage: Bacteria
Description: partial 16S ribosomal RNA
Rfam family: Bacterial small subunit ribosomal RNA
Source: RNAcentral
UACAGAGGUCUCAACCGUUGUUCGGAUUCAUUGGGCGUAAAGGGUGCGUAGGCGGUCGCGUAAGUCGGAUGUGAAAUCUCAGGGCUCAACCCUGAAACUGCAUUCGAUACUGCGUGGCUAGGGUACUGGAGAGGAGACUGGAAUUUACGGUGUAGCAGUGAAAUGCGUAGAUAUCGUAAGGAAGACCAGUGGCGAAGGCGAGUCUCUGGACAGUUACCGACGCUGAGGCACGAAGGUCAGGGGAGCAAACGGG